RNAcentral lists this long non-coding RNA (314 nucleotides) under Malus domestica (apple). RNAcentral describes it as "long non-coding RNA (MDOM_LNC021112)". Lineage: Eukaryota; Viridiplantae; Streptophyta; Magnoliopsida; Rosales; Rosaceae. The record is from RNAcentral.
GUUGUCACUAGGUGGCAGAUUCGUCACAUGAGAUUCUGGUGCAACUAUUGAGAAUUAAACUGGAUCUGAUUGAUAAGGAACUAAGGACGAUUUUGGAUUGGAGAAAGGAAGUCCUAAGAAUUAAAACAGUGUAAGUGGUAAAAGUUUUGUGAAGAAAUUAUUCGAUGGAAGAAAUUACGUGGGAGAAAGAGAAUCGGAUGAGAGAGAUUUACCCGAGGCUAUUGUAUGAGUAUGGUUGAUUUAGUUGGUUGCUGGAAUUUCGGGGACGAAAUUCUAUAAGGAGGGAAGAUUGUCACAGCCCGUCCCGGAAUUUU